This 436-nucleotide ribosomal RNA is filed under the name uncultured cyanobacterium. RNAcentral's name for it is "bacterial SSU rRNA". It matches the Rfam family "Bacterial small subunit ribosomal RNA", at positions 336 to 792 of the family's 1533-position model. Lineage: Bacteria; Bacillati; Cyanobacteriota. The record is from RNAcentral.
CUCCUACGGGAGGCAGCAGUGGGGAAUUUUCCGCAAUGGGCGAAAGCCUGACGGAGCAAGACCGCGUGAGGGAAGACGGCCUACUGGUUGUAAACCUCUUUUGAUAGGGAAGAACACAAUGACGGUACCUAUGGAAUCAGCCUCGGCUAACUCCGUGCCAGCAGCCGCGGUAAUACGGAGGAGGCAAGCGUUAUCCGGAAUUAUUGGGCGUAAAGCGUCCGUAGGUGGAUAGUCAAGUCAGUUGUCAAAGCGUGGAGCUUAACUCCAUACGGGCAAUUGAAACUGAUUAUCUAGAGUGCGAUAGGGGCAAGGGGAAUUCCCAGUGUAGCGGUGAAAUGCGUAGAUAUUGGGAAGAACAUCGGUGGCGAAAGCGCCUUGCUGGGUCUGCACUGACACUGAUGACGAAAGCUAGGGGAGCGAAUGGGAUUACCCUGUA